RNAcentral lists this long non-coding RNA (1141 nucleotides) under Rhinopithecus bieti (black snub-nosed monkey). Its description in RNAcentral is "lncRNA (ENSRBIG00000046437.1)". The record is from RNAcentral. Lineage: Eukaryota; Metazoa; Chordata; Mammalia; Primates; Cercopithecidae.
AGAAACACCAACAGGUGAGUGGGAUGUGAGAGAAGAUGAAGGUAACCGGUAAAGAGUGUGUUACAAGCCAGCCUCCACCCUGGGCAGCUGGAGCUAAAGCCUACUCUGGAAAACAAUGUUCCACUCACCCCACAGAGUCACCACGACCAACUCCUGUCACAGUCAAUGCCAAUGACCUAUAUGGCAAUAGGACAUGCUGAAGUGAGCGGGGCUAGGCAGCAGGUUUCUUCAGUCCUCAGAAUUUUUACUGACAUGGUGAGAGCCACAUUAGAAGAAAGAGAAAUAAUUGUGUGAAGCGGUUGCUGCUGAGUAGUAAGAAAGAGCCACUGUGUGCUUAUUACUGCCUCUGAGCUUGAUUAUUACAGGCUGGGAAGAGGUGUAGGAAGUGGGAGCAAGAAGAGAAAAUAGCUUCACUAUUUUCAAAGAUGUAUUGUUUUAUAAUGCACAUUGAAAUGGAAAUGGAUAACAGUAGAGAUAUGGUUUUAUCCAACCAUAGGAAUUAUUUUCAUAAGAGAAUGAACAAAAUUUAAAAAUACAUUUGGCCAAUAGAUUUUCCCUGAAAUUUGAGAACCCUUAUCUGGUGGAUAUUUGCCACAUGAUUACUAAAUUUAGUGGCAUACUUUUUUUUUUUUUUUUUUGUGAGACGAAGUCUCGCUCUGUCACCCAGGUGGAGUGCCGUGGCGCGAUCUUGGCUCACUGCAACCCCUGCCUCCCGGGUUCAAGUGAUUCUCCAGCCUUGGCCUCUUGAGUAGCUGGGACUACAGGCAUGCAUAGUGGCAUACUCUUUUAAUAGAAACAUUUGUUUCCCAAGAAACUAGGGCCAAGCAUGGUGGCUAAUGCCCGUAAUCCUAGCACCUUGGGAGGCUCAGGCAGAAGGAUUGCUAGAGCACGAAGGUUGAGACUGUAGAGAGCUGUGAUUGCAGCACUGCACUCCAGACUGGAUGACAGAGUGAGACCUGACUCAAGAAGAGGAAAAAAAAAAAAGGAAGGAAGGAAGAAAGGAAGGAAAAGAGAAAGAAACUAGCUGUUUUCCUGAUGUCUUAAAUAGGGGCAUUUUGAUUUUAUCUACUGCUAUAUACUGAUUUUCUCUUGUAAAUAAAUAGUAGGCAGUCAUUAAAGUACCACUACCAAAAAAGUGUUG